This 74-nucleotide transfer RNA is filed under the name Candidatus Altimarinota bacterium. Its description in RNAcentral is "tRNA-Gly". It matches the Rfam family "tRNA". From Rfam's summary of the family: Transfer RNA (tRNA) molecules are approximately 80 nucleotides in length. The record is from RNAcentral. Lineage: Bacteria; Candidatus Altimarinota.
GCGAUAGUAGUACAAUGGUAGUAUGUGGCCUUCCCAAGGCCAAGACGGGGGUUCGAUUCCCCUCUAUCGCUCCA